AGUGAACGCUGGCGGUAGGCCUAACACAUGCAAGUCGAACGGCAGCACAGUAAGAGCUUGCUCUUACGGGUGGCGAGUGGCGGACGGGUGAGGAAUACAUCGGAAUCUACUUUUUCGUGGGGGAUAACGUAGGGAAACUUACGCUAAUACCGCAUACGACCUACGGGUGAAAGCAGGGGAUCUUCGGACCUUGCGCGAUUGAAUGAGCCGAUGUCGGAUUAGCUAGUUGGCGGGGUAAAGGCCCACCAAGGCGACGAUCCGUAGCUGAUCUGAGAGGAUGAUCAGCCACACGGGAACUGAGACACGGUACAGACUCCUACAGGAGGCCGCAGUGGGGAAUAUUGGACAAUGGGCGCGAGCCUGAUCCAGCCAUACCGCGUGGGUGAAGAAGGCCUUCGGGUUGUAAAGCCCUUUUGUUGGGAAAGAAAAGCAGCAGGUUAAUACCCCGCUGUUCUGACGGUACCCAAAGAAUAGGCACCGGCUAACUUCGUG
This 492-nucleotide ribosomal RNA is filed under the name uncultured bacterium. RNAcentral's name for it is "partial 16S ribosomal RNA". It matches the Rfam family "Bacterial small subunit ribosomal RNA", at positions 29 to 507 of the family's 1533-position model. The record is from RNAcentral.